ACUGACGCCAAUGACAUUUUUCUAUACUCAAUAUUUUAGAGGCAAUUCGGUCUGUGCCUAAAAAGUACUGAAUCCAGUACCCAGCCCUACUCAUUGG
This is a long non-coding RNA of Etheostoma cragini (Arkansas darter), 97 nucleotides long. RefSeq lists it as uncharacterized. The record is from RefSeq and is a predicted model, not a curated record. NCBI's taxonomy places the organism in Eukaryota, Metazoa, Chordata, Actinopteri, Perciformes, Percidae. The transcript has 3 exons.